AGAAGUACAACCCUACCUGGCA
Molecule: unclassified non-coding RNA, 22 nt
Filed under: Mus musculus (house mouse)
Lineage: Eukaryota; Metazoa; Chordata; Mammalia; Rodentia; Muridae
Description: oocyte_clustered_small_RNA11820
Source: RNAcentral